UGGAUUGACAGCGGUUCCAGACCCACCUGCCAAUGAAAAUGCAACCAAGCUCGCUGAUGUGUCCAGCAACAACAGGCCAAAAGCCAACAGUUCUCCUAAUAACCACAAGGGACACCAUUGAGGCCACCUUGUGUUACUGAGGCUGAAGUGCCUGAGUAACCAAAUAAAGGGUUAAAAGUCUAAAAAUAUAUCUUUUUUUUUUUAAAUUUACAGACAGGACUGAGGUUGUUGGGAAUGUUUGACAUGGUAAAAAAAAAUAGAUGUAUCGAUAUACUGCUAAAUAACUUAAUUGUGCUUUUCUGAUGGGUCAACAUUAUGGACCUUAAUGUGCUAAAUAAGACUUUUUUUUAAAGCUGACAGCAAACAUAAAUGCCAUGAUGUUUAAAAAGUGGCAUCUUAAGAGUUUGAGCUGAACAUUACUAAAGGUUGUAAAAAUAUCUGAAGCAAUUAGAGUAGAAAAUAAUAUCGAUAAGUCAUCAUUUUUUAGCACCGUUGUUAAUUGGUCCACUAACUUAAGAUGGUUUAAGAUGGCAUUUAUGACUUGUUGAGUGUCAUAAUAACUUCAGAACAGUUGUUGUAUGGGUAAAAUAUAUAUAUUUUUUAAAUAAGGUCAUGUGUUUAGUGGAGGAAAAUAUUGCUCACAACCUAUGCAGUGAACAAUCCUGUUGUUUCAAACCUUGUUGCUGCGUCAAUAUGAACCCCAUCGAUAACAUUAUUAGCAUGGCUUAGCAAAAUAAACAGAUGCAACGCAGGAGCCGCUAGUGUUGUUCUGUUUGGAAUUCCGGAGCAUCCCCACAUUAUGUCUCAGGUUUCUUAUUACAAUUACAAACACAGUCAUCUGUUUUUUCUUCACACACAAAAAAGAGUGAGAUUAUUGACUCAUGGUUUGAGGCACAGUUGUGUUUCAGGGCACAAUCAGGUCGCAAGACCUCUUACAGGUGUAUUCAGGUUGAAUGCAAAGAGAAUUUUUGGCAACAGAGUUAAAUAUAACAACAAUGAGAUCACACAAAAGGUAAAUUCACCCUGUGAGGGCAUGUUGAGGCAAUACAUCACAUCUGCACAAAUUAGCUUAAGUGAAUACUUGGUGCUUCGCCAGCUGACGUCUUUUCAGUCACUACACUGGCUGUUUGUAGUGAGUUAACACUGACUCCGCAGAUGAUCUAGAGGUCAAACUUGAGGGUUUGAUUAGAUUUGCACUUUGAUUCUGUUCUUAUGAGAAGUUAUUGGAAUUUAUGGCAGAUUUUCAAACUUAUCUUUAUCAGAGUUAGGCCUACAAGUGUGAAAGAUGUUUCAAGUUGUCAUCAGUGUUAUGUGUUUCUGAGCUCUUUCGCAACCCUGCCAAAACUUGCUGUUCCUCUGUCGAUGUUUUUGUUGUCAGUCAUGACCCUUCACCUAAGACUCAACAGGUCUGUUAUGUAGCUUGGAGCCAGACUUAAAAAGUGAUCAGUAAAAUCUUAAAAUCAGUUCUAAAACCAACAGGAAGCCAGCAUAGGAAGGCUAAAUCAGGUGAUGUGAUCUCAUGCCUUAGAUUCAGUAAGAAGCAGUACUGCUUCAGUCCAGACAUCUUUGUGGUAUAUGUGUUUGUUGUUUAUGCUUGUUGAAAGAGAGUUGAGAAGCUGGAGGCAUAAAUAACUUUUUGAAGAUCUGAGUCUGAAAGAAUGGAUUUCAUUUUGGCAAGUAUGACAUGACACUUUUGACGUGUGUUUCAACAUAAUUCAGAACCAAACCCUACUCCUACAUUUCUUGCAGUUGGCUUUAUUUUGGUAGAAAGGGCACUGAGGUCACUGUCAAUAGAAGAGUAGAGUUUUGUGGACUCAACAUUUUUAUUUCUUAUUUUGAAUUGUUGACUUGAAGAAAAUCUUGUACCGUCCAACAAUUAAUGUCAGUGAGAUAUCUCUGAAUAGGGCUAGGUUUGUAUAUACAAUAAUAUAUUUGUGUGUUGUCUGUGUAGCAUUAAAAGGAGACAUUGGAUGCUGAAUUAUUUGGCCAAUUGACAUGUAAGUAGGAAAUAAAGAAGGACCUAAACUUAAAACUUCAACAAAUUGCAUUAUCAAUUAUAUCAAAAGCUGCGUAUGUGUAAAAGAAUUAAAAUUCUGCCCACCAUGUACAGCUGGAAAAAGGCCAUUUGUUACCUUCAUGAGGGCUGUCUCUUAGCUGUGAAAAGCUGUAACACCAGUGUGAAAUUUGAAAUAAGUGUUGUUGUUGUGUAUUUUGUCUCUGAUGUCUUAGUGUGAUGAAAAUUAUAUUUUUGGCGAUGCUCCUCAGCUCCAAGAACGGCAAUGGUGUGUCAUCUUCAUUUUCAUUAUACAGUACCUCUGCUCCUGUUUGCUUCAUUGAAAACACUUUGCAUUUUCCUAACCAGAUUUUGCAUCUGUUCGUGACAUGAUACAGUACUGCUAAGGUGCUUUCAGCUCAGCUGUGGUCCUCUGAUGGAGUCCCAGACAGGCAGUAUGACCAGAGAGGCUCCUCUGGGAAUCUCCCUCACAUUGCUGCACUCUGCUGCACACUGCAGCAGCCGCCUUCAUGAAUAACAAGUAGCUAUCCAACCC
Molecule: non-coding RNA, 2549 nt
Organism: Xyrichtys novacula (pearly razorfish)
Lineage: Eukaryota; Metazoa; Chordata; Actinopteri; Labriformes; Labridae
Source: the annotation of a GenBank genome assembly